Acanthosepion pharaonis is the source of this 101-nucleotide non-coding RNA. NCBI's taxonomy places the organism in Eukaryota, Metazoa, Mollusca, Cephalopoda, Sepiida, Sepiidae. The record is from the annotation of a GenBank genome assembly.
CAUUGAAACACCGGUUUCCGUACGAUCCACCGAAGUUAAGCAACAUCGAGCCAGUUAGGUAUCUAGAUUGGUGACAACUUGGGAAUAGCAGGUGCUGUUUG